GAGUUGUUAUAGUGGUCGCCGCUAGUGCAUUUGCAAGGGAAAUCAUCGUCAGAUAUAUUUUUUCAGGCGAUUAAAGUCACUGGAAACAAUCAGAAAAUGAUAUUCUCCACUAUACGAUUAUGUUUCUUCACUUUCUUUCCUAUUUUACGCUCAAUUAGCGGAAAAGAUAGUGUUUUCACUCCGUUGCUUUCACCGGAGAAGAUGGACAUCAUUGCCGUCGUUGGAGAAGAAAAGGAAGUUUAUAUUUUUCCAUAUUUUGUUUCCGUUUUCUAUUUCAUCAUAUGAUUAUCCUUUUUUGUUCUCUCGAUACAUAUGUAAAACCCUACAUUUUCCUACUUGUUCAGUAGAUAGUGUGUCGAAAAACAAAGAAAAGUGUUUAUUCAUGUCAUUGAUGACAAGUAUUUUUGUUGACAUAAGUGUUGUUGAUUUUCAUGCAUGUUUGACAAUGUUCGAGUUAAUCCUGGCUGUUUAAUGACUGCCGCUACAAAUACUGAUAUAGACAACUAAUGGCUGCCGCUACAUAAAAGGCGCAAUUUUCACUUUCCCUUCCUCACGCCUCUUCCCGCCAUCUCUCUCACGUCCCUCUCUCGCUCUCUCUCUCUGUCAAGGGAGUGUUCUGUCUCUGUCAAAACAGUGUCCUGAGGGAGUAAUCUAUCCUCGUCAGUGAGGAAGCCGAUUCUCCUCUCUCUCUCUCUAAUGGCAGCUCUCUAUAUUACAUGUCUUCUUUGCCGAAUGAAGCCGUUUGCGAUAAGGAGAAAUCUGGUGUUACGUGGCCAAAGCAGUUGAAUGCUCCGCUCGAGGAGGUCGAUCCGGACAUUGCAAAUAUCAUCGAGCUCGAGAAAGCAAGACAAUGGAAGGUGCUUUCCAACAUUUGUUGUCCUUUGUUAUGGAUUGAAAAUUAAGGUUUCAAUGUUGUCCUUCUGAAUCAAAGAUUGCAAUGGUUCGAAGAUGGAUGGUCAGGUCUACGAAAGCUUAUUUCUAGUGGUUUCUUCUUUAGCUUGUCAAGUAAUUGAAUGCCUUCUUCCCCUCCCCUCUUCUUCUUUUUGACUCAAGGCUGGACCAAGGAAAGCAUUAUUUGAAGCCAUCUUCAAGGCUGUUGGAAAGAUAAAUAUUAUAGUAGAAGACGUGGGAAUAAUCACAGAGGAUGUAGUUCAACUAAGGAAAGCUAUUCUGUUCUCCAGAGAAGUAAAACAGGUCUGAAAAAUUCUGAUUAACUAUGAGUUGAUAGCAAGAAAGUGCGAGAGAAGUUCGGAACAAGAGAAAGAAAAAAAGUGAAAAGAAAAAGUUGGAAACACGAGGUUGCUACCACAAGAGCUCCGUGAGCGAGUUAGCCAACAUGAGGGGUGGAAUAAGAGAGCUUGGUUCAGACCCUAUUGAAUUCUUGUACAAACCAAGAAUUUAUCAAAUUGAAGUUAAGAUGUAUUUGAAAUAUUUUUUUAUAUUUUAUUGUAAUUGAUG
Long non-coding RNA from Nelumbo nucifera (sacred lotus), 1458 nucleotides. RefSeq lists it as uncharacterized. The record is from RefSeq and is a predicted model, not a curated record. Lineage: Eukaryota; Viridiplantae; Streptophyta; Magnoliopsida; Proteales; Nelumbonaceae.